ACAUAUUUUAGAGCUGAAUUCAAUUUGGUAAAAUUACCAAAGUUACUUUUAAGUCUAGAAUAUAAUUGUUUUAAUCAAUCGAAUAUAUUGCUAUUUUUAAUAAAAUACUACCCAUAACAGACUUUUGUAUAAACAGCACCUUGAUUUAAUUAGUUUUAUUAAAAUUUUUGAAAAUUUUUUAUAAAAAAUUUCUUAAAAUAACGAUAUACAAAUUUAAAAUAACAAAAGAAAAAUAUCAUCGUGGUGUAUCGAUUACAGUACAGGUCUCCCUAACAAGAUAUAAAAUACCGUCAAAUUUUUUGGGUUUCA
RNAcentral lists this ribosomal RNA (309 nucleotides) under Parabathynellidae sp. (Pilbara) 9 EM-2019. RNAcentral's name for it is "partial small subunit ribosomal RNA". Lineage: Eukaryota; Metazoa; Arthropoda; Malacostraca; Bathynellacea; Parabathynellidae. The record is from RNAcentral.